Molecule: non-coding RNA, 30 nt
Filed under: Mus musculus (house mouse)
Lineage: Eukaryota; Metazoa; Chordata; Mammalia; Rodentia; Muridae
Source: RNAcentral
UUGCCAAUCGAUCUACUGAAUUUUCGGAGU